This 255-nucleotide ribosomal RNA is filed under the name uncultured bacterium. RNAcentral's name for it is "partial 16S ribosomal RNA". It matches the Rfam family "Bacterial small subunit ribosomal RNA", at positions 196 to 453 of the family's 1533-position model. The record is from RNAcentral.
GACAGCCAAAGAUUUAUCGGCUAGGGAUGGGCCUGCGUCUGAUUAACUGGUUGGUGAGGUAACGGCCCACCAAGGUGACGAUCAGUAGCCGACCUGAGAGGGUGAUCGGCCACAUUGGAACUGAGACACGGUCCAAACUUCUACGGAAGGCAGCAGUAAGGAAUCUUGCACAAUAGGGGAAACCCUGAUGCAGCAACGCCGCGUGAACGAUGAAAGGCUUAGGGUUAUAAAGUUCUGAUCUGGGGGAAGAAGGAA